GACGGACGCUGGCGGCGUGCUUAACACAUGCAAGUCGAACGGAAAGGCCUGCUUUCCCUUGUUGAUUGCGGGUACUCGAGUGGCGAACGGGUGAGUAACACGUGAGUGAUCUGCCCCCAACUUAGGUAUAAGCCUGGGAAACUGUGUCUAAUUCCCGAUAGGACUGCAUGGUGCUGCCUGUGUUGGAAAACGAUUUUCUAGUGGUUGGGGAUGAGCUCGCGGCCUAUCAGCUUGUUGGUGGGGUAAUGUCCUACCAAGGCGGCGACGGGUCGCCGGCCGGAGAGCGGCGACGCUCACAUUGGGACUGGGACCCGGCACCGACACCUACGGGAGGAAGGAGUGGGGCCUAUUGGACCAUGGGCCGAAGCCAGAAGCAGCGCGGGCGCGUGGAGGAUCUCGGGCUUCGGGUUGUAAACUACUUUCGAACGAGAGGAAGCCAAGUGGCUAGACGGGUCGUGACGGUAGUGGUAGAAAAAGCCACGGCUAACUACGUG
RNAcentral lists this ribosomal RNA (494 nucleotides) under uncultured bacterium. RNAcentral's name for it is "partial 16S ribosomal RNA". It matches the Rfam family "Bacterial small subunit ribosomal RNA", at positions 28 to 507 of the family's 1533-position model. The record is from RNAcentral.